UAUUAUAUGUGUGCUUCUGACUUUUUCUGUUUCUAUUUCAAGGCAGUAGUCUCAUGGAGUAUUCACCACCUCCAAGUCUGAUAUUUCCCUGAAAUGGACAGAUAUCACGGUCGGUCGCAGACAAGAUCUAGGAACAACCUCCCCAACAACACUGUGUGGAACAGUUGACCACAAAUAAUGUAGCGGUUCAUUCUUUGAGCCUCCCUUAGGGCAAGUAGGGAUGGGCAAUGCCAGUGAUUCUCACAUCCUGUGAUUGAAUUAAAUAACAUUACACAGGUGAAAUAUGUCCUGACUUGAUUUGGAAACUAAACUUGUUCAGAUCACAGCUGUGAUUGUUUUGCACUGAUAAUAACAGUUUAAAAUGAUGAAGAAUUCAUAGUGGCAGUUGUAACUGGAAUAAUGUGAUCAAAGUUAAAGGCAUCGGUAUUCAUCAGCUCAGUGUUCAGUGUAUACGGGCAAUGCUUUACAUUUACACAAUUGCAACAGGUCUAUCAGUCCUUUCCAAAUGUCUGUGGUCCAAGUAGAGACUGGUCUCUCAUGGAUCCAUUGCAGAUUCAGCAUGUUGAGAUUCCAACAUGCCAGUUCAACUACAGUUACAAAUCCAAGUUCUCAAAGUGCCCCUUUUCAGCCCCAUCUCAAUCCUCUUGUGCUUCCUCCAAUUUUGUGAUGCUAUUUGCUUGAUUAUUUUUACAUGAGAACUGUGUCACAGUCCUGAUCGGUCAUUCCCUGGUUCCAUUAAACUUCCUUUGUGUCACGAUCGGGACCGUUGACUCCUGGUUUUCCUUUAUUCCUUGUUUCCCUGUGUUUCUCAGGCACUUUAAUUAAAAGCACAGUAUUUAGUGUCCGGUUUACAGCUACUCAGCACUAGAUCAUCACCGGAUGUCACCUUAUGUCACCGAAGCAAUUGCGAGCAAGUCACCUUGCCGGAGCGAGCCAAGUCACAUCGUUGGAGCAAGUCAAGUCUUCACCCCAAAGCAAGUGCCAAAUCCCUGAUUUGCUUUGCUUCAGGUGUGGAACAAUUGAAUUUCAGCUACAAUUGUACAACCCUUUCAAUGUAUCACAAAACUAAGGGGACAAAGGCACAAUUUCAUCAGGUAUGGUUGGAGUUCAUCAACAUUUCUGUAAUCCAUUGUAUCCAGAGGAUUGGUCUACGCAGGUUCACUACAGCCCUGUUGGCCAGCCUUACUUAUUUCCACCUCUCAUGACAGGGAUGUAGGAUUCAACUUUGAGAGGUGAAAAAUAAUCAGGAUCUAUGUUUCAUUUAUUAUCCAUCUCCAGCCAUUUUUGAGAAGAUGACAAUGAAAGAAAUAAUUUAAACAGCAAAUUGGGAGAGCCCUCACAGAAACUCUAAACUCCUAAAUUCUGUCUUGGACUAACAGCAACAAAAGACAGUAAGAACCUACUGCAUAUCUGCCAAUGGUUUAAGGAUUGCCAAGUCUGACUGGACAUGUUCCAUCACAUGACAGUUCACCGCCUACACGUCUUGGCUUUGGUCGUUGAACACAGCCAUCUCGCGGUACAUCGUUUUCCCACUGCAGCAGGAAGCAUGCUGCACUUCUCAGCUGGAUGUUGACCAGUUUUCCACAGUUGAUCAUUUCGGAGGAAAAUAGCCAAAAGUACUCAAAAGGAAUGAAAUAAAUAUAGCUUUUUGUGUUCCUAUGAUUUUCCUCCCGGAUUGCUUUGAAGGAUUUUGUAGGAUAGUCCAGUUCUCAGAAUCUCCAGGCCAUCCUGAAGCAUUGGCAGCACUUCAACAACUAUACAGAGACAUGUCAGACUCAUCUAUUGUUUGCUGCUUCUUUGUCAGCUCAGAGGCUGGGUCAGGACAUAGAAUGUUAACAGACGUUGAAUCAUCAGAUGGCUAAUCCAAGAAUGUAUUAAACAUAGAGCAUAAACUAUUGAAUACCAAUGUCCUUGUAUGGGAAAGCCUACAAAACAUAGUGGAUACAGACCAAUCCAACAUGGGUGAAGCCCUCCCACUGAACGUAUUUACAAGGAGCGCUGUCACAGAAAACCAGUCUCUAUCAUCAGUGACUCCCACCACCCAGCACACUCUCUUUACUUGCUGUUGCCAUCAGGAAGGAGGUACAGGAGCCUCAGGGCCCACACCACCGGGAUCAAGGACAGUUAUUAUCCCUCAACCAUCAGGAUCGUGAGCCAGAGGGGAAUAACUUCACUUGCCCCAUCAAUGAACUGUUCCCAUUGAACUGGAGUCACUUUCAAAGUCCUUUCAUCUCACAUUCUUGAUAUUUUUUGUUUGCUUGCUUAUUUAAUUAUUUAUCUUCCCGUGUGUUCAUUUAUUUAUUGUUUAUUUAUUCAUUCACUUGUUCAAUUGUUUAUUAUUUCUUUUACAGUUUGUAGGACGAAGGGAAGCCCCUUUAUUUAAAAAAGGAUGACAUCUCCUUUGUCCUAGAAUGAAAGGCCUCAUCCUGAGAGCAGAUGCAGUGGAGGCAGAGGAAUUGAGAGAAACGGACAGCAUUUUUGCAGGAGACAGGGUGGGAGGAGGAAUAGUCUAGGUAGCUGUGGGAAACAGCUACCUUUUGUCCACUAUCAACUCUGCCCUCCAUCGCGUCUCCUGUAUUUCACGCACCUCUGCCCUCACCCCAUUCCCCCCGCCAACCAACCAGGGAUAGAGUCCUCACCUAUCACCCUACCAGCCUACAGAUCCAACGUAUAAUCCUCCGUAACUUCUGCCACCUCCUAUGUGAUCCCACCACCAGCCACAUCUUCCCCAUCCCCCCACUCUCGGCUGUCUGCAGGGAUCGCUCCCUAUGCGACUGCCUUGUCCAUUCAUCCCACCCCCCCAUCCCUCCCCACCGACCUCCCUCCGGGCACUCAUCCCUGCAAAUGAAAGAAGUGCUACAUCUGCCCCCACACUUCUUCCCUCACCACCAUCCCAGGCCCCAGACAUUCCUUUCAGGUGAGGCACCACUUCACCUGCGAGUCAACUGGGGUGAUGUAUUGUAUCCGGUGCUCCCGAUGUGGCCAUUUAUACAUUGGGGAGAUCUGCCGCAGACUGGGAGACUGUUUCGCCGAACACCGGCACUCGGUCCUCCAACAGUGGCGGGAUCUCCCUGUGGUCACACACUUCAAUUCCACAGACCACUCCCACUCUGACAUGUCUCUCCAUGGCCUCCUCUACCGUCAAGAUGAGGCCACAUGCAGGUCGAUGGAGCAAUACCUUAUCUCCCACCUAGGUAGCCACCUGCCUGCUGGCAUGAACAUCCAACUCACAGACCUCCGUUGAUACCCGUGCCCCCCCCCCCCCCUUACCCCCAUCCCUAUCUAUUAUUUUAGUCUGGUUCUCUUUCUCUCUCUUUUUUCCCCCCUCACUAUAAUCUCCCCCCACACCUACCUUUCUUUCUCUUUUAUUUCCCAUAAUUCUCCAUCUUCCCCCUAGCCCAUUUCCCUCCAGCCUAUCACUUCCCAGCUCGCUACUUCAUUCCUCCCCCCACUUCUUAUUCCCCCUCGACCAUCCCAUGUUACUUCACUCCUGAUGAAGGGUUUCGGCCCGAAAUGUCGUCACUACCUCCUCCCAUAGAUGCUGUGUGGCCUGCUGAGUUCUGCCAGCAUUUUGUGUUUUUACCUAAACAAUCUAGGCUCUUGUACCUACCCAGUGUCUACAUCCCUCCAUGUUUGCUUAGAUGCACCUUUACUAUAUUUGCCUCCACUCCCGCCCCCGGCAACCCAUUCCAGAAACCCUACGUGUAACAAACUUGCCCUGCAUACAUUUUUUAAACUUACCCACCCUCACUUUGAAUGUAUGCCGCCGGUAUUAGACAUUUCAACCCAAGAGAAAGAUACUGGUUGAUGAUCUAUGCGGCUCUGAACCUUACUGUGUAAAAUCACAUAUAGUGUUGAGUCUGACUACCUGAAGGGGCUGGAGAUCUGGUACAGAGAUGCUAGGGCAUGUAACAAGAAUUGGCUGGAGCAGAUUGUGCUGAGAUUGAAUGAAGUCACCCGAGACCACUAAAGCUGGUGAUAUACAAGUCUUCAUCAUAACAAGCAGUCAUUCUCCUGGCGACGCUCGCUGUAGAGUCUCACAAAGUACAUCCCAUUUUUAUACCCAAAGACCAAAGGUAACAGCAGGUGAUUCAGUACAAUUUCACUAGCUACAAUAACAUCACUUAUUUCAAAACUUUGGUUUGACUGUGCUUCCUUUGAAUUGUAUAUCUACAGUGGGAGACCCCUCUGAACGUUAAAUAUCUUUGCUGAAACAAGCUAUUUGCAAGCUUCCCUGAACUUACACAAUGUUUACAAUUUACAAUGUCACAAAGGUGCAAAUUCCUUAAACCCAUAGUCGAUGCAUGGCAACUAACACGACCCCAAUGUCUUAACGUUUGGCAGAUACAUAUGCAAUCACUUAAUCUGUGGGAGAAUCUGUGUUUUCAACUUCAAUUUACUGCUUACAAUUUACAAAAAGAUCUGAAGACGUUCUUGCUUCAAUUAAUAUCUGCAUAUAACUCCAGAGUACUCCCAAAUAUGCCCUCCUCUUGGCCCCUGGACAGAAAUCUAUCCCAGGAAGGUCAAACCUUAUGUGCAUCUCUAUCUGCACGAUUAUCCCUAUCUACAAGACUAAACAAAGAUGGCAAUAAACCAUUCCAGAGAUUUGAUCACAUCCUCUUCUUAGAUAGUUUUGUCUUCUCAAUUUCAACAGACUUUAAAAUUCAGCUUUGUCAUUUAUGUGCUUGUUGCUUCCUCACCUGCUGGCCCAGUACAGUUUAAUCCCAUCUUUAUCUUCCCCUCCACCAUCAGUAUUUGUUAGCUAAAACUCAGCAGUAGCUGUCAGUUAUUCUGUGGGCACUAGCAUGGUAACAGAUCCCAUUCGGUGCUGUGACGAAAGACUGUCAGAAAAACCUGACAAUAAAUCUCUCAGUCCCUUUGAUCAAUCUGCAAGAGGGUUUGGGGUGGUCUCUAUUUGUGUAUCUCCAAGUACCUUAUCGCAGUGGCACCCACUCCUGGUUUGUCCUUUUGAUGAGUGGUCCGAACGCUGACAGGGCCCAGCUCCUUUGUAUCCACUCCCAUUUCAGUCUGGGGUCGUUGCCUUCAGACGCUAUGUGCAUUUUAUUCUUUCUUGGUUCGCCUUGCCUUCGAGGCUGUGGAACUUGAUGUCCACCGUAACUCAGAUCCUUUCCCAUCUAUUUUCCCCUACCUCUUUCUGUUUCUACAACGAAUCACUUAUCUCCCAGAACCAGCCUUCAUUACAAAGUGCGGUUACCGUUACACUUCUGCAUGUAGCUUUCACCAGGAGUGGUCUGAUGUGAAACAGCAGGCUGAUGUCCAUCACUUAGAUUCCCUGUAAUGACGUUGUUACUAGGUAGACAUGAUCUGUGAGGGUGACAGGAAGAUGAACCCGAGUCCUGUGUUUCCAUUGUCUGCCUUGCCAGGGCUGCACACAAACACAGGUGUCAUUUGUCGGAAGUACUUAUCCACCUGGGAGUGAACCUUGCUUUUUUUCAGGCAGCUCCCUCACCAUGAAUUGGUCACCCAUCUGUGGGAGGACGAUCUUCUCUUGCUGUUUCGCUCGGUCCCUCAAAGCAUUGCAAUGGUCCGCCACAUCUCCACAAGGUCUUAUUAAAUUGGUAAAUCCCUUGAUUUCUUUCUCCACCCUUUCGAUUUCUGUCAUUUUGUCCUCCUGUUGCUCUCUAUGCCCUGUGAUCUUUACACUCAUUCCUUUUCUGCUCCAUACUCUCCCCUUUCUGCUCAGCAUUUACUUAAGUUGCUGCUACAUCUACAGGCAGCUGCAUUACCUUUAACAGUUCUUGUCCUUUACAGUCCCUAACCUUGGGACUGCUGACAUGAUUCAUGAUCAUUGUCCCAUCUUCUGUCUACACUUCACCCAGUCUCUUCCCUCUGCUUGGGGCUGGUGUCUCUCUGAGGACCAUGUUGUCUGCUCUGCGGUCACACAUGUUUGCUGUCCCUGUCUUGUCCAUGGUAUUACUCAGUCUGUCCAUCCCUAGUACAGUACUCUCAUUGUUUGCGUACAGUCAAAUCCACAUGAAGCUACAUUCUCGCAUUCUCAAGUAUGCAAGGCUCAUUUCUAUCUGCCCUCAUAGUUUUACCCCCUGCACAGGUAAAGUAAAUCACCUCUCCAGUCGAGGGCAAGGGCAGAGCAGUAAAAUGCCCUUUAGGGCUUCUAGCGAACUGAGGUAUAAUUUUUUACAGAAAGGUUUGAUUCUGGAUUGUAUGCGGAAUGAUCGGCCAAAGGAGAUAAUGGAGGCUGUAAACAGUAACAACCUUUAAAGGUCUCUUGAAUGCCUGCAAGAAAAUGAAUCUCAGGGUAGUAUAUGGUGACGUACUUAGAUAAUAAAUUUACUUUGACAUUGACUGACAGGUACUUGAAAGAUCAAGGCAUUAAGGGAUAUGGGAUUAAUAUGGAUAAGAUGAGGGCAGAAUAGAGGUGGUGGGCCAAGGGGUUGUAUGACUGUAACAUUUGAGUCAAGUCAAAUGUUUUCCCCUGUGCCUGCCACAGAUUUCAUAAUUUUAUCCACAAAUCUAUGAUGUAGUUUAACAAUAAAUGCUUUGAUUUUAUUUAGUGUCAAAAUGCCUCUCUAUAAAAUGAAUUUCUUUCUGUGACAAUGCAGCUUGCCACCACGUUCUUUGUUUUUCUGCAUGCUGCCGUAGAAGCUGAGCUAAUCCCAUGAUUUCCAGCAUUAAAGAUGCCUGCAUUGUUCGGCCUAAGCACCAUGUCAGGAUGGUUGCUUGGAGAUCAGGCUGUCAUGACUGUGCACUGUAUGCAGAAUACAAGCAACAGCAGAUCCAUUGAUGAGAUGAGUGCUAACUACAUCUUCUCUUAUUGAGAAGAUCAUCUGUGGUCCCAAUUCUAAAUAACCUGAUAUAUUCUUGUGUUAAAGUCUGCAGGGGAUUGAAUUAAGUCAUUGGGGGCAGGGAGUUGGGAAAAUCAUCAUCACUGGGGCUCCUGUAGUGUUUAUCCAAGAAUAUAGAGUAUGUAUCUAUCCCGAUGAAGGGCCUCAGCCUUAAACAUCCACUGUUUAUUCAUUUCCACAGAUGCUGCCUGACCUGCUGAGUUCCUCCAGCAUUUUGUGGGUGUUGCUCUGGAUUUCCAGCAUCUGCAGAAUCUCUUGUGUUUAUGGCAUACAUAUCUAUAUUAUUGCCCCCACCUUCCACACUAUGCUUAAAUCCAUAUGGUCCAACAAGGAUACUAACUUGGUAGGUCAGGCAGCAUUUGCGCAAAGAGAAACAGAGAGAUCAAUUUAAGUUGAAUAUUCUUCAUCAGAACUGGGAAAGUUAGAAAACAAAGUUUUAAGUUUCAGGGAGGGUGUUAAGUGGUAGGAAUAUCUUGACAGGGUGAGGCCAGGAUUGCUAAGGUGAACCUAAUGUUUAUGGAAACGUCUGGUUGAUUUUCAGGGUUGUAUAUGGUGACAUAUAUAAUAUAUAUUUUUAUAAUAAAUUUAUUUUGAACUUUGAUUUUCAUUGAG
Molecule: long non-coding RNA, 7436 nt
Organism: Hypanus sabinus (Atlantic stingray)
Lineage: Eukaryota; Metazoa; Chordata; Chondrichthyes; Myliobatiformes; Dasyatidae
Exons: 4
Source: RefSeq, a predicted model, not a curated record